Molecule: long non-coding RNA, 2870 nt
Organism: Lepus europaeus (European hare)
Lineage: Eukaryota; Metazoa; Chordata; Mammalia; Lagomorpha; Leporidae
Exons: 5
Source: RefSeq, a predicted model, not a curated record
GCUGGGCGGCUGCCGGGGGGGCCCCCUCGCACCUCUCCACCUGGCCGUGGGUGGGGGUUGCUCUGCUGUGGUGGAGGCCCGGACGGUCACCUCGCCGGGGCUGGGGUGGGGUCCGCAGACCCCGGGAGCGAUGAGCGCGCACCUCGGGUAACUCGGCUCGGGACGCCGGAGGCUCCCGUGCAGGGCAGCGCGCGCCGCGGCGUCGCCGGCGCCUGAGGAGAACGCGCCUGAGGAGAGUUGCCGGAAGCCGCCUUCCCGUGCGGAGUUUUCUGUCUCCUGCACGUAGGUUCGCAGCCCCUUUGCAUAAUGCGAGGAAGUGUGGUUUUGUGAACUGGAAGAGGACGUGGCCAGGAGCAGCACCCCUAAAAGAGCAGCCCUUGUUCCGGACCUAAAGGAAACAGAUGGGGAGGUGAACGAGCCGACCGCCUGGCGCCGCGUCCGGAGCUCACCUGGGCUGCGGGGGAGCCCGGCAAGAAGUUAAGUGCUUCCUCUUGGCGAACUGUGCGUCCCAAUGGACAAAGCAGCUAAGGCGAAAAUGACUGAUUCUCGAACCUGAGAGAUGACCAAGGCAGGAGAACAUUAGUGCCACAGUGGAUGACUUAAUUGAUGGUGAGCAUAUUAUUAAUAUCUCUUGUUUGGCAUUGUGGGAAUCGAAGCUCAGAGAAGAAACGCACCGGUUUCCUUUCUGCUUGAUAAGAUACACUCACAGGAGGGUACUCUUAAGUUUUUGCAUCAAGAAGGAAGCAACAGUGCCUGUGCCAUGCUAUGGAAGCAAGAUUUUUAAGACCAGCCUUAGGAUUCUGCAUCAUAAUUUGGAAAUUACUGCGGCCAGACACUUGCAGACGACUGCUGUUUGAAAUUCAUAUGAUGAUUAAAAACAGCUAUUAAAUACUCAUCUUUUACAAAGGACAUGGAUGAACACGGAGUCGGACUUCUGGAAGCCAGAGCUCUCCGCUUUCCUUGUUAGUGACUUCUCCUGGCCUAAUCUCAAAAUCUGAAAAUCUGAAAUGCUUUAAAAUCUAAAACUUUUUGGAUGCUGCAAGUGGAAAAUUCCCCUCUGACACAUUGUAGUCCAAAUUCUGGUAACACUAAAUAUCCAUGAAAUUACCCUCCAGCUACGUGUACAAGGUGUAUAGGAAACAUCAAUAAAGGCCCUAUUUGGACUUGGGUAACAUCCCCAGAUUAUCUCGUUAUGUAUAUGCCAAAUUUCCAAAAUCCAAACAAAUCUGAAACACUUCUUAUGCCAAGUAUCUCGGGUAAGAACUCAACUUGUACUUUUAUAAGAGGUAGGAGCUAUUUUCUAGGUCAUAGGAGGGGAGUUUCAUUACUCCUACCUCUGCUUCUAUACAUUUGUAGCUGUGACCUCUCACCUGGGCACUUGUGUUGAAUCUCAAGAGUUCUCAAGUGUGUGGUGAUCAGCUGCCACACCUCCUGGCAUCCUCUUCUGUCCCCUGAACAAAGGCUAAGUGAGCAAUUGCACACACAGGUUGGAAUUACCCAUAGGAUGCUGUCUGUAACUCAUGCUCUGUAUGUAUGCACAGUGUUUUGAUAGUUUUAUAUAGCUCAAUUUUCUGUAGUAAUAAGAAAGUAUUGAAAGUAUUCCAUAGAGCAAUGGUAUCAUCUCAUGAAUUGAACAAGCACUUAGAAGGUGUCUUUUCCCAAGUGCUCAGCUCUAAAUGGGGCAUUCAGGGAUGGGCAGAGAUAUUUUUCUGUCCCUAAGGUACUUAAAAUAGAAGGAUGACAUAAGGUAGGCAUUGUGACCCAAAGGCGCAGCUCAGGACACCAGCUGUUUUGCUAGGCUUGCAAGCUAAGAGUAUAAGCAACUAUAAUACAGAAGAGUGUGGGACAGAGAUGUAUGUGGCCCCCAAGCUUGCACUAUUUACUGUGUGGUUCUUUACAGUGAAAGUUCGCUAACCUUUGACACAAGGAAUGCAAAGUAAGGUAGAAUAUUCUAAGAUCCCUAUCAAGAAUGGUUAAGAAGCCAUUGGAAUCCAGAGGAGGGAAAUGCCUCUCCUGACUCAUGAGAUCAAAGGAAGUUCUAUGGGGGGAGGGAGGAAGCCAUACAGAAGAGCCUGUGUUUCAGUGAGAAGGGGCAGAUGAGAAGCCACUCCAGGGCAAGGGAAAGCAGAGAGCUUGUGUGUUUCUCACCUAUGGGAUGCACACAGGAGUACCCUGGGGAACUUCACAAUUGUAUUCAGACCGGAACCUAAAAUUGAAAACAAUGGAAACACACAGAAUACAUAACCAACACAGGGAAAGGAUUAUUUCAAUGACUUUUGAACUCAGUAGUUUGACAGCAUUCAUUAAGGGGAAAUGCAAGGAAAAAAAGAACUGCAAAGAAAUCUUAAACUUCCCUUAACAGUUUUAUUUGUAGCAGUAAGACUGGCAUUUUAACUUUGAAAUUAUUUUAGCUGAAUUAGGAGACAAAACAAGUUUGUAAAUACAUUGAUUUUUAUUAAGAAUCAAAAUUUCUGAUAUAAGAGAGAAGAGUACAAACAAAAACAUUAAAGGCAGAAGUACGUUAGGGAUCAGCAUUGUAGCAUAGAAGGUAAAGCUGCCUGUGAUUCUGGCAUCCCGUAUGGGUUCCAGUUCCUGUCCUGGCUGUUCCACUUCCUGUCCAGCUUCCUGCUAAUGGCCUGGGGAAAGCAACAGAAUAUGGUGUUUGGGCCACUGCCUCUCCUGUGAGAGAUCUAGAUGAAGCUCCUAGCUCCUGGCUUUGGCCUGCCCCAGUGCUGGCUGUUGCAGCCAUCUGGGGAGUGAACCAGCAGAUGAAAGAUCUCUCUCUCUCUCUCUCUCUCUCUCUCUCUCUCUUUCUCUCUCUCUGUAACUCUAGCUUUCAAAAUAAAUAAAUAUUUUUUUUUAAAAAAAGA